This 64-nucleotide microRNA precursor is filed under the name Bactrocera dorsalis (oriental fruit fly). Its description in RNAcentral is "microRNA bdo-mir-263b precursor". Its record names the gene bdo-mir-263b. It matches the Rfam family "mir-263 microRNA precursor family", at positions 12 to 76 of the family's 86-position model. Lineage: Eukaryota; Metazoa; Arthropoda; Insecta; Diptera; Tephritidae. The record is from miRBase by way of RNAcentral.
CUUGGCACUGGGAGAAUUCACAGUUGACUUUUACAAUACUCUGUGGUUCUUUGGGUGCCAAAAC